Molecule: non-coding RNA, 2210 nt
Organism: Podarcis lilfordi (Lilford's wall lizard)
Lineage: Eukaryota; Metazoa; Chordata; Lepidosauria; Squamata; Lacertidae
Source: the annotation of a GenBank genome assembly
CUAGAAGCCGCAGGUGAGACUUGAGUGCAGGGUGGGGACCAAAGGUGGACAGAAGGAGCACGACGGGUCCCCCACCAGAGGACCUACCCCUCGCCUAACACCCCAGCAAGUGGUUUUCAGAAGCAUUAAUGGCUCCACAAAAUGAUUUCCGAGUUCAUGCACAGUGGCGUAGCAAGGUCAGGUGGUGCCCGGGGCGGAAAAAUUCUUGUCACACACACACCCCCCACACACACACACAUUGAAAAUAUAAAAAAAGGAAAAAAUAUGAUACAGUUGCAAGUGUUAUUUUCUGCUUUAUUUACUUAACAUUGUGAGCAUAAGCACUUAAAACCUUUUUUUCAUGAUGGGAAUUUCUUAUUUUAAAAACACAUAUUUUUGCCAUUUUGUCACUCCCCUCAGUGAUGACAGCUGGGGUGGCCUGCACCCACCACACCCGGGGUGGCCCACACCCACUUCACCCCCCCCUUCCUACGCCAUUGUUCAUGCAUCUCUUGCCAAAAUAUGGCUAUAUGUCACGCCUCUUGGUUCCAAUUCUCUUUAAAGCCCUGUAGCAACACCUUUAAUCUGUUUGCAGCAGCAUCUUCCAAACUCUAGCCCUGGACUCCUGCUCAUUACUAGCAAAACGUUGGUCAUGGUUACAGGUAUCAGCAUGGCCAAUGGUUAGGGAUGAUAGGAAGUGCUGCCCAACACCACCUGGGGGCAGUCGCGGACCUACAUUUGGGGGGCCCUGAAACUGUCACGAGGACCCCUUCACAACUAGCAACAAGGGCUGGGUAACCAUUGCGAUCUUCUUCUGUGGGGUUGUUCCAUGACAGAUCACCACACCUUUACAACAUCUGUGCUAUUGGACUGUCAAACUUCAGAAUUGUUGAAACAUAUACAACAAAAAAUUAAUCCAUCUGAGUCAUGCCACUCAAAUGGGGUCUGUUAGACCCCAACAUUUUAAGCAAUGUGGACUAAACUUGCUUCCGGGGGCCCUCUGGGAUCAGGGGCCCUGAAAUGUAAGCUUCAUUAGUUUCUUAAUAGAUCCAUCCCUGCCUGGGGGGACACAGACUGCCAUCCCUCCAUACCUAGAGCAGAGGGCUUGCAACAUAUAAAGAUCCUAGGAUGCAGGGGUGAAAUUCACAAUUUCAUUUCCCCACCCCCACCCCUCACUUUGGAAUCACCAUUAAUGGCAUUGUACCCCCUGUGCCGGGGACGCGGGUGGCGCUGUGGUCUAAACCACUGAGCCUAGGGCUUGCCGAUCAGAAGGUUGGCGGUUUGAAUCCCCAUGACAGGGUGCGCUCCCAUUGCUCGGUCCCUGCUCCUGCCAACCUAGCAGUUCGAAAGCACAUCAAAGUGCAAGUAGAUAAAUAGGUACCGCUCCGGCGGGGAGGUAAACAGCAUUUCCAUGCGCUGCUCUGGUUCGCCAGAAGCGGCUUAGUCAUGCUGGCCACAUGACCAGGAAAAAUUGUCUGUGGACAAACGCCGGCUCCCUCGGCCAGUAAAAUGAGAUGAGCGCUGCAAUCCCAGAGUCGUCCAUGACUGGACCUAACGGUCAGGGGUCCCUUUUUACCCCCUAUGCCACAGAGGCAUCAGGCAAAUUGUGCCCUCACAGCCCCGCUGUUUGUUUGUUUGUUCCAACAAUUUAUUUGUUUAUUUAUUAUGUUUCUGAUUUAUUCUAUUUAUUAUCCAACCCUUUCUCCAGAAGGAGCCCAGGGCAGCAAGCAGCAAGCGAUAAAACGUCUUUAAAAAACAAUCCCAAGAAAGAUACGGAUCUCUGCUUAAAAGGCUUGUUGGAAGAGGAAGGUAAAGUACGACAGCUAAAGAGGCCAGCAGCCCCACACUUCCACCGCAUUGUGGCAGGGGGUGUGGAGGUCAAUCUAGUCUCUGCAAUUAGCUCUCUCCGCAAAAGGUGUCUGAUUUCUGAAUCUAUCCUUUGGGACAGUUCUCAAAGGGUGUGGGGUGGCCAGCCUGCACCUCAAAGAACUGGCCACUAGGUGUCAGGCUUGCACUGCUAACUACCUCUCCUGUGGUGGAAAAUUCACAACGCACAGAACUAAAUAACCUGGUCUGUUGAAUUAAUAUUUCCAUUAUGUCUGGGAACCCGUAGAAUUGUGGAGCUGAAGGUGUGGAGCAGGAAUGCUUUCUUCCUUUGUUUUCCUUUCCCCUUCUUUCCUCCUCCAUUCCUUUUUAGGUUAGAUUUUAGAAAUGUUUCUUUUAUUUCGGUG